This is a long non-coding RNA of Centruroides sculpturatus (bark scorpion), 587 nucleotides long. RefSeq lists it as uncharacterized. The transcript has 3 exons. Lineage: Eukaryota; Metazoa; Arthropoda; Arachnida; Scorpiones; Buthidae. The record is from RefSeq and is a predicted model, not a curated record.
UUAUCUUUCGAAUGAAAAUAAUAAUAAUAAUAGAAAAUUUCCCGAUUGCCAUUUUAGCCGACGACCCAUCUGAAACGGGAGGAAAGAGAAAAUACAUAUUUCCGGACUAUCUCUUAUAGACAGGGGUGGUCCGACAGAUCCGAUAUCAGGCUGAGAGCGUUGUUCGAAGAUUGAAGAGAUAAAUAAGGUGCUUACCAGUGUAAUUCGACUUGAUCCAAACGAACAGGAACCGCCAACGUGUGACGAAAGUCAGGAUGUGUCAGAUUGCUUCGUUUGAGCGAGUGACAUUAAGUAAACAAACGUCUUGGUUUUUUCAUUUAAUAACAUUUUAGAAUAGAUACGAUAGCCUCAAGCUCUCUGGACUCAAUUAAAAUAAUGAAUUUCUUUCGUAAGGAAGAUUACUUUUUCUAGUUUGAAAAUAAAUAAAAAAGUACUCAAGAACACCAGAAAUCACUUUAAUUUAAUAAAAUAAUGUGCGGAAUAAAAAGUACAACAUUACAAGUCUAACCGACACAAUUCCAAACAGCGGAACAAAAAAUUUGAACAUGUUGUUUAACGAAGUGCCAUUAGAUGUUUGCCGAUAUUCA